GAUGAACGCUAGCGGCAGGCUUAACACAUGCAAGUCGAGGGGCAUCGCGGGUGGCAACACCUGGCGGCGACCGGCGAACGGGUGAGUAACGCGUGAGCAACAUGUCCUCAGUCGGGGGAUAAGCGAGGGAAACUUCGUCUAAUACCCCAUAACACUUUCAGGCGCAUGCCUUUAAGUUGAAAGCUUUUUUUGCGACUUUGGUUUGGCUCGCGUGACAUUAGCUAGUCGGUGGGGUAACGGCUCACCGAGGCUACGAUGUCUAGGGGUUCUGAGAGGAAGGCCCCCCACAUUGGGACUGGGACACGGCCCAAACUCCUACGGGAGGCAGCAGUGAGGAAUAUUGGUCAAUGGACGGAAGUCUGAACCAGCCAUGCCGCGUGAAGGAAGACUGCCCUAUGGGUUGUAAACUUCUUUUGCAGCAGAGCAAUAAGGCGUACGCGUACGCCGAUGAGAGUAUGUUGUGAAUAAGCAUCGGCUAACUCCGUGCCAGCAGCCGCGGUAAUACGGAGGAUGCGAGCGGUAUCCGGAUUUAUUGGGUUUAAAGGGUGCGUAGGCUGGUUUGUAAGUCAGCGGUGAAAGACCGGGGCCCAACUCCGGAAGUGCCGUUGAUACUGGAUUGCUAGAAUUCCCUGCCGUGGGA
RNAcentral lists this ribosomal RNA (640 nucleotides) under uncultured bacterium. Its description in RNAcentral is "bacterial SSU rRNA". It matches the Rfam family "Bacterial small subunit ribosomal RNA", at positions 28 to 661 of the family's 1533-position model. The record is from RNAcentral.